GGCUCUAUAGUGUAGUGGUUAUCACUCGAGAUUCUGACUCGUCGAUUUCUCGUGACCCAGGUUCGAUCCCUGGUAGGGCCU
This is a non-coding RNA of Tephrocybe rancida, 81 nucleotides long. Lineage: Eukaryota; Fungi; Basidiomycota; Agaricomycetes; Agaricales; Lyophyllaceae. The record is from the annotation of a GenBank genome assembly.